UUUAAAAACAAAGAAGAAGAAGCCGGGUUUGGGAGAACAAUCUGGCAACCCUGGCCACCAGUCUGGCGUAAACAAGUCGGGAUUUUAGGGUGUGAGUCUUACGAAUCGCCUUUCAGCCAAUCACAGCUCACAUCCUGCCCACAUGGCUGGGUUGUUUACUACAAGAACUGGAGAGAGGAACCGAGAAACCCAGGAACUGACUCAAACCGCUUUUCACAUGGAAAGGAGUGGGACUCCUGUCUUCCCAGAUGGGCCGGGAGAUUCAGGGUCGAAGAUGAAUCAACGACCUCUGACCUUGUAAAAGUGAGCCGUGAAAGGCUUCUGCAAGUGGACACGCUUCCUAUUACAAACCAAGUCCAUCGAAGUGGAAAGCUGAAACGAAUGAGUGACACGCCCACCGGUGCACGCCUUUACAGCACGCGCUCCUUCAGCAAUCCAGUGCGGGUUUUGUCGCGUGCCAGGAGUGCGCAUUUGGAAAGGGUUUCGAGUCGGAGCCGGUCAGAGCAAGUUCAGAGUGAAAAAAAAAAAGAAAGAAAGAAGGGGAGUGUGAGCUGGAGAAGACUACAAGCAGCUUUUCUCUUGGUGCAGCUGAUCUCCUGCAGGAGUAGCGAUGGAGAAGGUGCUAACAGCGACGGUGCUUCCGAGGA
Molecule: long non-coding RNA, 647 nt
Organism: Ictalurus punctatus (channel catfish)
Lineage: Eukaryota; Metazoa; Chordata; Actinopteri; Siluriformes; Ictaluridae
Source: Ensembl